This 72-nucleotide transfer RNA is filed under the name Pampinifervens diazotrophicum. RNAcentral describes it as "Hydrogenobacter sp. T-2 tRNA-Thr". It matches the Rfam family "tRNA". Rfam says of the family: Transfer RNA (tRNA) molecules are approximately 80 nucleotides in length. Their secondary structure includes four short double-helical elements and three loops (D, anti-codon, and T loops). The record is from RNAcentral. Lineage: Bacteria; Pseudomonadati; Aquificota; Aquificia; Aquificales; Aquificaceae. RNAcentral also lists the same sequence under 8 other names.
GCUGGCGUAGCUCAGUGGCAGAGCGCGGGAUUUGUAAUCCCGCGGGCGUGGGUUCGACCCCCACCGCCAGCU